GUAUAGUACACCCCAUAGCAUAGUAUGACUGGCAGAAACCAGAGAAGGCAAAAGUAGAGAAAACACUAAACAAUGAUCCCAUUCCCACAUCUGUACGUGACUGAGUAAGCAGUACAUAAUCACAUUAAACCCUUGCUAAAAUCAUGGUCAGCAAAUUGAAUAAAAUAAAACAUACAAAUGGCAGGAAAUGCAGUUUGUCCCAUCUCCAAGAACUCUAUGAUGCCGUCCCAGGUGCCUUCACUCCAACAACUCCGUCCCAGGUGCCUUCACUGCGACAACUCCAUCCCAGGUGCCUUCACUGCGACAACUCCAUCCCAGGUGCCUUCACUCCAACAACUCCAUCCCAGGUGCCUUCACUGCGACAACUCCGUCCCAGGUGCCUUCACCUUCACUCCGAUAACUCCGUCCCAGGUGCCUUCACUGCGACAACUCCAUCCCAGGUGCCUUCAACUUCACUCCAACAACUCCGUCCCAGGUGCCUUCACCUUCACUCCGAUAACUCCGUCCCAGGUGCCUUCACUCCGACAACUCCGUCCCAGGUGCCUUCACUCCGACCUAGGUGCCUUCACUCUGACAACUCCAUCCCAGGUGCCUUCACUCUGACAACUCCAUCCCAGGUGCCUUCACUCCGACCUAGGUGCCUUCACUCUGACAACUCCAUCCCAGGUGCCUUCACUCCGACCUAGGUGCCUUCACUCUGACAACUCCAUCCCAGGUGCCUUCACUCCGACAACUCCAUCCCAGAUGCCUUCACUCCGACAACUCCAUCCCAGGUGCCUUCACUCCGACAACUCCAUCCCAGGUGCCUUCACUGCGACAACUCCGUAACAG
Oncorhynchus tshawytscha (Chinook salmon) is the source of this 831-nucleotide long non-coding RNA. The record is from Ensembl. NCBI's taxonomy places the organism in Eukaryota, Metazoa, Chordata, Actinopteri, Salmoniformes, Salmonidae.